RNAcentral lists this ribosomal RNA (320 nucleotides) under uncultured eukaryote. RNAcentral's name for it is "partial 18S ribosomal RNA". It matches the Rfam family "Eukaryotic small subunit ribosomal RNA", at positions 1470 to 1796 of the family's 1831-position model. The record is from RNAcentral.
CCCUUAGACGUUCUGGGCCGCACGCGCGCUACACUGAACAGUUCAACAAGUCUUAACCUUGGCCGAUAGGUCUGGGUAAUCUUUGAACGCUGUUCGUGAUUGGGAUAGACCUUUGCAAUUAUGGGUCUUCAACGAGGAAUUCCUAGUAAACGCAAGUCAUCAGCUUGCAUUGAUUACGUCCCUGCCCUUUGUACACACCGCCCGUCGCACCUACCGAUUGAAUGGUCCGGUGAAAUCUCGGGACGGCGGCUUGGUCGCUUGCGUCCGACUGCUGAAACUUGAUUAAACCAUAUCAUUCAGAGGAAGGUGAAGUCGUAACA